Molecule: long non-coding RNA, 553 nt
Organism: Gordionus sp. m RMFG-2023
Lineage: Eukaryota; Metazoa; Nematomorpha; Gordioida; Chordodea; Parachordodidae
Exons: 3
Source: RefSeq, a predicted model, not a curated record
UUAGCCCUAACAGAUAUUAACAGGAGAUUUAUUUAUAUAGAUGUAGGUGCAUAUGGAAAGCAAAGUGAUGGUGGUGUUUUUAGAAAUAGCUCUUUAUAUAGAGAAUUGAUUAACCAUACACUUGAUAUGCCUGCUCCCAAACCAUUUCCAGGUUGUAAUGAGGCCAUGCCAUUUGUAAUGGUUGGGGACAACACAUUCCCUUUAUCAAAUUAUUUGAUGAAGCCCUACCCCAAAAGAAAUCUGACAACAGAAGAAAGGGAAUAUAACAUGAGGCUGUGCCAUGCUCGACUAAGUGUAGAAAGAAGCUUUGGUGGAAUAGUCAAAAAAUUUGGCAUUCUAAGUAAGCCAAUAGAAAUAGGACUACCUAGCAUAGAGAUAGUGAUAAAGGCUAUUUGCAUCCUACAUAACAUUAUCAUCAACAAAGAAGAUCAGCUUCCAUUGAUGAUAUAGAUCCUACAUUGGCUAACCUUACAACAAGACCAUUUUUGGCAAGCAGGGAAAACAACUCAAGCUCACAGGAAUCUAAAAUCAUUAGGGAAAAAUUUAAUAAAUU